ACUCCUACGGGAGGCAGCAGUGGGGAAUAUUGCACAAUGGGGAAACCCUGAUGCAGCCAUGCCGCGUGUGUGAAGAAGGCCUUCGGUUGUAAGCACUUUCUAGUAGGGAGGAAGGUAGUGUAGUUAACACCUGCACUAUUUGACGUUACCUACAGAAGAAGCACCGGCUAACUCCGUGCCAGCAGCCGCGGUAAUACGGAGGGUGCGAGCGUUAAUCGGAAUUACUGGGCGUAAAGCGCAUGCAGGCGGCCUGUUAAGUCAGAUGUGAAAGCCCGGGGCUUAACCUCGGAAUUGCAUUUGAAACUGGCAGGCUAGAGUCUUGUAGAGGGGGUAGAAUUUCAGGUGUAGCGGUG
This 353-nucleotide ribosomal RNA is filed under the name uncultured bacterium. RNAcentral's name for it is "bacterial SSU rRNA". It matches the Rfam family "Bacterial small subunit ribosomal RNA", at positions 335 to 683 of the family's 1533-position model. The record is from RNAcentral.